Molecule: transfer RNA, 67 nt
Filed under: Dipodomys ordii (Ord's kangaroo rat)
Lineage: Eukaryota; Metazoa; Chordata; Mammalia; Rodentia; Heteromyidae
Rfam family: tRNA
About the family: Transfer RNA (tRNA) molecules are approximately 80 nucleotides in length. Their secondary structure includes four short double-helical elements and three loops (D, anti-codon, and T loops). Further hydrogen bonds mediate the characteristic L-shaped molecular structure. tRNAs have two regions of fundamental functional importance: the anti-codon, which is responsible for specific mRNA codon recognition, and the 3' end, to which the tRNAs corresponding amino acid is attached (by aminoacyl-tRNA synthetases). tRNAs cope with the degeneracy of the genetic code in two manners: having more than one tRNA (with a specific anti-codon) for a particular amino acid; and 'wobble' base-pairing, i.e. permitting non-standard base-pairing at the 3rd anti-codon position.
Source: Rfam by way of RNAcentral
GGUGGCUCAGUGGUAGAGUGCUUGCCUUGCAUGCAUGAGGGGCCCUGGGUUCGAUUCCUCAGCACCA